GGACUACUGGGGUUUCUAAUCCUGUUUGAUCCCCACACUUUCGUGCCUCAGCGUCAGUUACAGUCUAGUAAGCUGCCUUCGCUAUCGGUGUUCUUGACGAUAUCUAAGCAUUUCACCGCUACACCGUCAAUUCCGCCUACCUCGUCUGUACUCAAGUCCAACAGUAUCAAUGGCACCUCGACAGUUGAGCUGCCGUAUUUCACCACUGACUUAUUGAACCGCCUACGCACCCUUUAAACCCAAUAAAUCCGGACAACGCUUGCCACCUACGUAUUACCGCGGCGGCUGGCAC
RNAcentral lists this ribosomal RNA (292 nucleotides) under uncultured bacterium. Its description in RNAcentral is "partial 16S ribosomal RNA". RNAcentral also lists the same sequence under 1 other name. The record is from RNAcentral.